GUUGUUAACAGUUGCUUCUCUAGGAAUCUGAGGCCAUUGGCAAUAAACCAAGUAAAUAUUCUAACAGAAAAUAAAAUUGCUGUUUACUACUGAAGCGUUUUUUAUAAAUAGCUCUCUCAGGCUAAAGCAGACGCAGUGGGUGUAUAUGUGUGUCUGUAUGUGUGUUCACACACAAAUGUAGAUGCAGGAUGUCUGUGUGCUCAUUUAAACAAUAUUUUUUACCUUCUGUAUGUUAGCAGUGUAGGUGCUGAGCAUAUACCAGUGAAAAGAAUAGCCACAGAUUAAGCUGAUUAUUACCGUGAGUUAUGUAAGUGCAUGGGCAAAUCCUUCCAUGUUGUGCUGGCAAGGGAGGAGGACUACUCAGGAAAAUAGGGUAAUUUAAUGGACCAAAAAUUAAAAAAAAAAUCAAGAUGCCAUCUAUUUCUACAUAAGGAUGACCUUAUGCAGUGAUGCGCUGGUAAACUAGCUCUCUGGGAGGUGCAGGGAAAGCCCUGAUAUGUAGCAUUUACCAGUUACUGUGAUGUAAAUACCCCCCCCAGGGCUGAUUUCAAACCUCCAACUUGACGUCACUGAAUGAAGCUGAAGGAAGAGAUGUACACCAUUGGCUGUAGCAACCCAGCAUGAGCAGCUCCAGCAUACCACUAACCCUUCGUGUAGGCAGAAGAAGAACAAUGAUUUCUUUCAUUUAUGGAGCUGUUUGAAGUUAACCAGAAGGUCACAUGCUUGGAGCAGAGCAGAGGACAUUUCCUACUUCUACACUCCAGAGGGUUUCGGUCUUGCCAGAAGAAAUUUGAGAGAAGGUCGCAAAGUGGCUGAGGAAUUCACUAACACGACAUGAGGGCACUUUGCACAGGUGGAGAAUGGUAGGUAUAUUGCAGCCGAGCUGGAAUUGGAGUCAAGCCCCUAAUUCUUGUCACAACUUUAUC
This 926-nucleotide long non-coding RNA is filed under the name Callithrix jacchus (white-tufted-ear marmoset). Its description in RNAcentral is "lncRNA (ENSCJAG00000071193.1)". Lineage: Eukaryota; Metazoa; Chordata; Mammalia; Primates; Cebidae. The record is from RNAcentral.